GGAGAGGUGUCCGAGUGGUUUAAGGAGCCGGUCUUGAAAACCGGUGAUGCCCUAUGGCACCGUGGGUUCGAAUCCCACCCUCUCCGCCA
RNAcentral lists this transfer RNA (89 nucleotides) under Selenomonas sp. RNAcentral describes it as "tRNA-Ser". It matches the Rfam family "tRNA". From Rfam's summary of the family: Transfer RNA (tRNA) molecules are approximately 80 nucleotides in length. Their secondary structure includes four short double-helical elements and three loops (D, anti-codon, and T loops). Lineage: Bacteria; Bacillati; Bacillota; Negativicutes; Selenomonadales; Selenomonadaceae. The record is from RNAcentral. RNAcentral also lists the same sequence under 1 other name.